RNAcentral lists this ribosomal RNA (403 nucleotides) under uncultured bacterium. RNAcentral describes it as "bacterial SSU rRNA". It matches the Rfam family "Bacterial small subunit ribosomal RNA", at positions 29 to 416 of the family's 1533-position model. The record is from RNAcentral.
AACGAACGCUGGCGGCGUGCCUAACACAUGCAAGUCGUGCGAGAAAGUUCCUUCGGGAGCGAGUAAAGCGGCGCACGGGUGAGUAACACGUAGGUAACCUGCCCCCCAGUCUGGAACAACUAGAGGAAACUCUAGCUAAUGCCGGAUGAGACCACGAUCCCUUCGGGGGUUGCGGCCAAAGAUGGCCUCUACUUGUAAGCUAUCGCUGAGGGAUGGGCCUGCGGGCCAUUAGCUUGUGGUGAGGUAACGGCUCACCAAGGCUGUGAUGGCUAGCUGGUCUGAGAGGAUGACCAGCCACACUGGGACUGAGACACGGCCCAGACUCCUACGGGAGGCAGCAGUGGGGAAUAUUGCGCAAUGGGCGAAAGCCUGACGCAGCGACGCCGCGUGGGUGAUGAAGGCC